RNAcentral lists this small nuclear RNA (384 nucleotides) under Jaculus jaculus (lesser Egyptian jerboa). RNAcentral describes it as "7SK RNA (ENSJJAG00000003646.1)". It matches the Rfam family "7SK RNA". From Rfam's summary of the family: 7SK was discovered as an abundant small nuclear RNA in the mid-70s but a possible function has only recently been suggested. Two independent studies have found that 7SK RNA binds the CDK9/cyclin T complex (known as elongation factor P-TEFb). Lineage: Eukaryota; Metazoa; Chordata; Mammalia; Rodentia; Dipodidae. The record is from RNAcentral.
GGAUGUGAAGGUGAUCUGGCUGUGACACAGUCACAUUGAUGACUAGGGUUGAUUAGCUAAUCUGGCUGGCUAGGCAGGAGUGGGCUUCUUCUCUCAUAGCUCCAUGUGGGUCCCUCCCGAAGCUGUGUGUGUUUGGUCAAGGAAGAUGACCUUCCUGAAAUACAGGAGGGUCGGCGCAGAGGAGCAUCGUUCUGGACAGAGCAGAAAUGCCAGUGGUCCGUCAAGGGUGUAUGAGUAGCUGUGUUUGCCUGCUAGGACCUCCAAACAGCUCUCAGGUCCAGCCUGGGCUACAUGAGAUCUUGUCUCAAAAAGGAAGCGGAAAAGAAAAUGCAAGAUUCAGAAAAGUAAAAUCCAUUUUUAUUUAAGUUUAGAAAAAUGUCAUUU